This 74-nucleotide transfer RNA is filed under the name Cellulomonas shaoxiangyii. RNAcentral's name for it is "Cellulomonas sp. Z28 tRNA-Gly". It matches the Rfam family "tRNA". From Rfam's summary of the family: Transfer RNA (tRNA) molecules are approximately 80 nucleotides in length. Lineage: Bacteria; Bacillati; Actinomycetota; Actinomycetes; Micrococcales; Cellulomonadaceae. The record is from RNAcentral.
GCGGGUGUAGUUCAAUGGUAGAACUCGACCUUCCCAAGGUCGUAGCGCGGGUUCGAUUCCCGUCACCCGCUCCG